Molecule: long non-coding RNA, 481 nt
Filed under: Musa acuminata (dwarf banana)
Lineage: Eukaryota; Viridiplantae; Streptophyta; Magnoliopsida; Zingiberales; Musaceae
Description: long non-coding RNA (MACU_LNC007394)
Source: RNAcentral
CUACUACGAGCAGCUCCUGGCGAGAAGGGGCGUGCUCACAGUGGAUCAGAACAUAGCGUCGGACGCGGCGACCAACGCCACGGUGAGGGCGCUGGCCGGCGGCAGCUCGAGCUUCCCGGCUCUGUUCGGGGGUGCCAUGGUGAGGAGGAUGGGCGGCAUCCAGGUGCUCACUGGGACGCAAGGCCAGAUCCGGAAGUCGUGCCGAGUCGUCCUUUGGUUUGGGAGUUCCUUUUGUCAUUUGAACUUUNNNNNNNNNNNNNNNNNNNNUCGGACGCGGCGACCAACGCCACGGUGAGGGCGCUGGCCGGCGGCAGCUCGAGCUUCCCGGCUCUGUUCGGGGGUGCCAUGGUGAGGAGGAUGGGCGGCAUCCAGGUGCUCACUGGGACGCAAGGCCAGAUCCGGAAGUCGUGCCGAGUCGUCCUUUGGUUUGGGAGUUCCUUUUGUCAUUUGAACUUUGGUUGGUUUCUUUGUUUGUUUGUUU